Long non-coding RNA from Balaenoptera musculus (blue whale), 1818 nucleotides. The record is from Ensembl. NCBI's taxonomy places the organism in Eukaryota, Metazoa, Chordata, Mammalia, Artiodactyla, Balaenopteridae.
AGGCUCCCGGGGGUUGUAGUGCGCGUCCGGUCUGCGCAGGCGCACGUCUCGCGACGGCCGCCAGGAGCUCUUUUGUGGCGGCCGUGGUCUUGUGUGAGGUGGGUCAGCUCGGCCGCGCGUCCGGCCGGCCGUCGGUUCAUCAGCCCGUCAGCCCCAGGCCUGUGUGCCGCCCCCGUGACUCCCAGCGCCGGGCGGCAGACCUCGAGGCCUGGCCGGCCCGCGCGGGCCCGGACAACGUCAGUGACGGGCUGGUGGGGCGAGCGAUGGGGCGAGAUCACAGCCCGGGGCGCGGGGCGCCUGUGGAGCCCGCCUGACCCCGACCCGGGGCGCGGGCCGGCCCCGCGGGGCUGCGCGAGGGUUCUGAGCACCGGGAGCUGGACCCGACCCGCCCCCGCCCGGGGCGGCCGCCGAAGGAGGGCGCCAUGGAGGCCCCGGAUCCCCGGGAGGCAGCUCCGUCGUCUCAGGACCCUGCUCUUCCCCUCAAAGAGAUUCCAGAAGAUAAAUUGGGUCAGGGUCUCCUGGAAGGCAGGUCCGAGGUCACUCCUUGGGCCCAUGCUCAGAACCUGUUCACGCCCCUGUCUCCCUCCUGCCUUCCUCCCAUGCUGCCUGCUGCAGAAUGCAGACGCUGUCACCUUGGGGUAGAUAUCUGUCUUCAUACUCUGGCCACUGCAGCCUCCCCCCCACCCCGCUCCUCCCUGACUCCAGUUCACUUUACUGCUGAGGACCUGCUUGCCCCACCACUUCUGUGUUCCCCCCCCCCCGCAACGGUCUGCCCUUUUUUUUUUUUUAGUAUUAUUUAUUUAGCUGUGCUGGGUCUUAUUUGCGACAAGCAGGAUCUUCGUUGCCGCGUGCAGGGUCUUCAGUUGCAGCUCGUGGGAUCUUUUUAGUUGCAGCGUGAGGGAUCUAGUUCCCUGACCAGAGAUCGAACCCGGGCCCCCUGCAUUGGGAGUGCAGAGUCUUAACCGCUGGACCACCAGGGAAGUCCCUGCCUAUCUUCUAAUGCAUCCCUGUCAUGACUGUAUGUGGCCUGGGCUGCUCUUUGUUCUCUUCUCAUGGGACAGGCGCUGGGUCUCCAGCCUCUUGGCGUGCCCAGCUGGAGAGGUAAGAAGCCCUGGCCGGCAGAAUACUGGGGUUCCAGAGCAGGAAUCACAUAAGGGAAGUCAUUUGGGACUUUCAGGACACUUGGAACCGGAGUGACCGAGUCGGGGGGGUUACCCUGAGACCAGGGGCCAGUGUUGGGGGAAAGUGGGAGCAGGUUGCAAGGGGUGGACUGGGAUGUGGCCCCAGGAGGGCAAGGGAGCAGGGGUCUGGCGGGAAGAAGUGGGGGGCAAGCAGGAAGGACACAGAGCAGUACAGGGUCUUUCCUUUGAGUGCAGUGAGGGCUUCCUGUCUGGGGUUGGGGCCUUUUGCAGUGAUGGGACUUGAAUAGGGUUUUGGGCUCUUUGUAUUAUAUUUCAAGUUCUGUAAGUUGGCCAGAAUUUAUGGCCUCAGCCUGUGCCCCCACUGCAGCACCUACAUGCAGGCUGCCCAGUUAGCUGGGCCCUCCCAGGCCAGGCCGCGUGGCAGUUCCUGGCCGAGUUGUGGUGUGUGCGUCGGGGCUGUAGGACAGAUGGUGUCUACAGCCCUAUCUUCUGCGCUCAGGAGGUCACCCAAGGUUAUCUCUGCUACUGAGGUCCUCAGUCACCCAAAAACGCAAGUGAACUGACUCACAUCCUGGGUGAGAGAGAACAUGUGUGUCAUUCCAGGAGUUGGUGACUUUCAAGGACGUGGCCGUGGACUUCAGCCAGGAGGAGUGGGGACAGCUGGACUCCCCUCAGA